This 435-nucleotide ribosomal RNA is filed under the name Klebsiella pneumoniae. RNAcentral's name for it is "bacterial SSU rRNA". It matches the Rfam family "Bacterial small subunit ribosomal RNA", at positions 1027 to 1463 of the family's 1533-position model. The record is from RNAcentral. Lineage: Bacteria; Pseudomonadati; Pseudomonadota; Gammaproteobacteria; Enterobacterales; Enterobacteriaceae.
CUGUGAGACAGGUGCUGCAUGGCUGUCGUCAGCUCGUGUUGUGAAAUGUUGGGUUAAGUCCCGCAACGAGCGCAACCCUUAUCCUUUGUUGCCAGCGGUCCGGCCGGGAACUCAAAGGAGACUGCCAGUGAUAAACUGGAGGAAGGUGGGGAUGACGUCAAGUCAUCAUGCCCUUACGACCAGGGCUACACACGUGCUACAAUGGCAUAUACAAAGAGAAGCGACCUCGCGAGAGCAAGCGGACCUCAUAAAGUAUGUCGUAGUCCGGAUUGGAGUCUGCAACUCGACUCCAUGAAGUCGGAAUCGCUAGUAAUCGUAGAUCAGAAUGCUACGGUGAAUACGUUCCCGGGCCUUGUACACACCGCCCGUCACACCAUGGGAGUGGGUUGCAAAAGAAGUAGGUAGCUUAACCUUCGGGAGGGCGCUUACCACUUU